UACGGAGGAUUCGAGCGUUAUCCGGAUUUAUUGGGUUUAAAGGGAGCGUAGGUGGCGUGCCAAGUCAGGAGUGAAAACCCAGGGCCCAACUCUGGGACUGCUCUUGAAACUGGCAGGCUUGAGUGCUGGAGAGGUAAGCGGAAUUCCUAGUGUAGCGGUGAAAUGCGUAGAUAUUAGGAGGAACACCAGCGGCGAAGGCGGCUUACUGGACCGUGACUGACGUUGAGGCUCGAAAGCGUGGGGAGCAAACAGG
RNAcentral lists this ribosomal RNA (253 nucleotides) under uncultured Eubacteriales bacterium. RNAcentral's name for it is "uncultured Clostridiales bacterium partial 16S ribosomal RNA". It matches the Rfam family "Bacterial small subunit ribosomal RNA", at positions 524 to 776 of the family's 1533-position model. The record is from RNAcentral. Lineage: Bacteria; Bacillati; Bacillota; Clostridia; Eubacteriales.